CAGCAGCCGCGGUAAUACAGAGGAGCCAAGCGUUGUCCGGAUUGACUGGGCGUAAAGCGCACGCAGGCGGUCUGGCGCGUGGGGUGUGAAAUCUGGCCGCUUAACGGCCAGGCGCCAUCCCAUACGGCCGGACUGGAGUGAUGCAGAGGUCGGUGGAAUUGCCGGUGUAGUGGUGAAAUGCGUAGAGAUCGGCAGGAACACCCAGGGGGAAACCAGCCGACUGGGCAUCUACUGACGCUGAGGUGCGAGAGCGUGGGGAGCGAACCGGAUUAGAUACCCGGGUAGUCCACGCCGUAAACGAUGGCCACUCGGCCUUUGGGGGCGGAAUCUCCGUUUCUGGGGGCCUUAGCUAACGCGGGAAGUGGCCCGCCUGGGAACUACGAGCGCAAGCUUAAAACUCAAAGGAAUUGACGG
Molecule: ribosomal RNA, 414 nt
Filed under: uncultured bacterium
Lineage: Bacteria
Description: bacterial SSU rRNA
Rfam family: Bacterial small subunit ribosomal RNA
Source: RNAcentral